UUGAGGGGGUCUCUGCGGGUUUUUUGGGGUCUCUGCAGGUUUUUUGGGGUCCCACUGGGAUGUUUUGGGGUCCCUGUGGGGUUUUUGGGGUCUCUGUGAAUUUUGGGGUUCCCCCUGUGGAUUUCGGGGUCCUUCUGGGGUCUCUGUGGGGUUUUUGGGGUCCCACUGGGAAGUUUUGGGGUCCCUGCGUGGGGAUUUUGGGGAUCUUUGUGUAUUUUGGGGUCCCCCACUUUGUACUUUGGGGUCUCUGUGGGGUUUUUGGGGUUCCCGGGAUGUUUUUAGGGUCCCCCGGGAUGUUUUGGGGUCCCCCCGGUUUUUGGGGUCCCCCCGGGUUUUGGGGUCCCCCCGGGAUGUUUUUGGGAUCCCCCGGGAUGUUUUUGGGAUCCCCCGGGAUGUUUUUGGGGUUCCUCCGGGAUGUUUUGGGGUCCCCCCGGGAUGUUUUUGGGGUCCCCCCGGGUUCUGGGGUUCCCCCGGGAUGUUUUGGGGUCCCCCCGGGAUGUUUUGGGGUCCCCCCGGUUUUUGGGGUCACCCCGGGGGCCGCUGGGGGACGCAGCCGCCGAGCUCCAGCGCCUGCGGCCACCCCUCGUACUUGUUGGAGCCGCGGCUGUUCCGGACGUGCUGCGGGGGUCCCAAAGUGCCCAAAAUCACCCCAAAA
Molecule: long non-coding RNA, 655 nt
Filed under: Lonchura striata (white-rumped munia)
Lineage: Eukaryota; Metazoa; Chordata; Aves; Passeriformes; Estrildidae
Description: domestica (Bengalese finch) lncRNA (ENSLSDG00000003836.1)
Source: RNAcentral